RNAcentral lists this transfer RNA (71 nucleotides) under Mus musculus domesticus (western European house mouse). Its description in RNAcentral is "partial tRNA-Pro". Lineage: Eukaryota; Metazoa; Chordata; Mammalia; Rodentia; Muridae. The record is from RNAcentral.
CACCACCAGCACCCAAAGCUGGUAUUCUAAUUAAACUACUUCUUGAGUACAUAAAUUUACAUAGUACAACA